Odocoileus virginianus texanus is the source of this 99-nucleotide non-coding RNA. NCBI's taxonomy places the organism in Eukaryota, Metazoa, Chordata, Mammalia, Artiodactyla, Cervidae. The record is from RefSeq and is a predicted model, not a curated record.
UCCCAUUUUACUCUAUAACACUGGGAUCGACAUCCAUUAGCUCAGAAGGAUCUAGGUUCAGGCGUGCCGGCAAGGCAUUAAUAUAAGUUCCUGCCUGUA